GGCGACACCAACAGGAUGAGAAAAAUGCAGAGGCAAUGUUUCGAUUUCCUGAAGGCAAAGGAGAAAAAAAAUUGAGAAAUAAGCAGCAUGGUCCAAGACAUUUAAGACAGACACUGGAGUUGGGUAUCGUAUGUGCAAUGCUGUUAAGAGACCGACUGCUGUAAGACACACACACGUAAGUCAGCUUCUUU
Molecule: long non-coding RNA, 191 nt
Filed under: Cavia porcellus (domestic guinea pig)
Lineage: Eukaryota; Metazoa; Chordata; Mammalia; Rodentia; Caviidae
Description: lncRNA (ENSCPOG00000033664.1)
Source: RNAcentral